RNAcentral lists this ribosomal RNA (1596 nucleotides) under metagenome. RNAcentral describes it as "bacterial LSU rRNA". It matches the Rfam family "Bacterial large subunit ribosomal RNA", at positions 1420 to 2904 of the family's 2925-position model. The record is from RNAcentral.
GAUAUUCCCGUACCCGUGUAUCCGCGCCCAAUGAUGAAUCAUCUGUACUAACCACCCAAAAGCCGUCUUUCCUUCCUUCGGGUUGGUCUGGUGGUGGCUGCGUGGGACCUUGGGUGUAGUAGUCAAGCGAUGGGGUGACGCAGGAAGGUAGCAGGGCCAAGUGAUGGAUGUCUUGGUGUAAGCCUGUAGGGCGGGGUGUAGGUAAAUCCGUACCCCAUACAGCCUGAGAGGUGAUGCGUAGCCGUUGAGGUGAAUUCUGUGAUCCUAUGCUGCCGAGAAAAGCCUCUAGUGAGUUGGUACACGGCCCGUACCCCAAACCGACACAGGUGGUCAGGUAGAGAAUACUAAGGCGAUCGAGAGAACUGUGGUUAAGGAACUCGGCAAAUUGCCCCCGUAACUUCGGGAGAAGGGGGACCAUUUCUGGUGACGACUUUUUCGGUCUGAGCUGGGGGUGGUCGCAGAGACCAGAGAGAAGCGACUGUUUACUAAAAACACAGGUCCGUGCGAAGUCGUAAGACGAUGUAUACGGACUGACGCCUGCCCGGUGCUGGAAGGUUAAGAGGACCGGUUAGUCAACUUUGUUGGCGAAGCUGAGAAUUUAAGCCCCAGUAAACGGCGGUGGUAACUAUAACCAUCCUAAGGUAGCGAAAUUCCUUGUCGGGUAAGUUCCGACCUGCACGAAUGGCGUAACGACUUCUCUGCUGUCUCAACCACAGACUCGGCGAAAUUGCAGUACGAGUAAAGAUGCUCGUUACGCGCGGCAGGACGAAAAGACCCCGGGACCUUCACUAUAGCUUGGUAUUGGUGUUCGGUACGGUUUGUGUAGGAUAGGUGGGAGACUGUGAAGUGGGCACGCUAGUGUUCGUGGAGUCGUUGUUGAAAUACCACUCUGAUCGUAUUGGGCUUCUAACCUCGGACCCUGAUCGGGUUCAGGGACAGUGCCUGGUGGGUAGUUUAACUGGGGCGGUUGCCUCCUAAAAUGUAACGGAGGCGCCCAAAGGUUCCCUCAGCCUGGAUGGCAAUCAGGUGUUGAGUGUAAGUGCACAAGGGAGCUUGACUGUGAGACGUACAUGUCGAGCAGGGACGAAAGUCGGGACUAGUGAUCCGGCACCGGCAAGUGGAAGCGGUGUCGCUCAACGGAUAAAAGGUACCCCGGGGAUAACAGGCUGAUCUUCCCCAAGAGUCCAUAUCGACGGGAUGGUUUGGCACCUCGAUGUCGGCUCGUCGCAUCCUGGGGCUGGAGUAGGUCCCAAGGGUUGGGCUGUUCGCCCAUUAAAGUGGCACGCGAGCUGGGUUUAGAACGUCGUGAGACAGUUCGGUCUCUAUCCGCCGCGCGCGUCUAGAAACUUGAGGAAACCUGUCCCUAGUACGAGAGGACCGGGACGGACGAACCUCUGGUGUGCCAGUUGUUCCGCCAGGAGCACUGCUGGUUAGCUACGUUCGGAAGGGAUAACCGCUGAAAGCAUCUAAGCGGGAAGCCUGUUCCAAGAUGAGGUUUCUCACCCACCCUUGUGGUGGGGUAAGGCCCCCUACAGACCAUGGGGUUGAUAGGCCAGAACUGUAAGCACAGUAAUGUGUUCAGGUGACUGGUACUAA